This 254-nucleotide ribosomal RNA is filed under the name uncultured bacterium. Its description in RNAcentral is "partial 16S ribosomal RNA". It matches the Rfam family "Bacterial small subunit ribosomal RNA", at positions 524 to 776 of the family's 1533-position model. The record is from RNAcentral.
UACGGAGGGUGCGAGCGUUGUCCGGAAUCACUGGGCGUAAAGGGCGCGUAGGCGGCUGGGGAAGUCGGCGGUGAAAGCCCGGAGCUCAACUCCGGGUCGGCCGUCGAGACUCCUCGGCUCGAGCUCACUAGAGGCAGAUGGAAUUCCGGGUGUAGCGGUGGAAUGCGUAGAGAUCCGGAAGGAACACCAGUGGCGAAAGCGGCUUCCUGGUCCGACACCGACGUUCAGGCACGAAAGCGUGGGGAGCAAACAGG